RNAcentral lists this small nuclear RNA (166 nucleotides) under Castor canadensis (American beaver). Its description in RNAcentral is "U1 spliceosomal RNA (ENSCCNG00000019104.1)". It matches the Rfam family "U1 spliceosomal RNA". Rfam says of the family: U1 is a small nuclear RNA (snRNA) component of the spliceosome (involved in pre-mRNA splicing). Lineage: Eukaryota; Metazoa; Chordata; Mammalia; Rodentia; Castoridae. The record is from Rfam by way of RNAcentral.
UAAGAUACCUGGUAGAGGAGAUACCAUGAUCAAGAAGGUGGUCUUCCUAGGGUGAGGCUUAUCCAUUGCGCUCCAGAUGUGCUGACCCUUGUGAUUUCCCCAGAUACGGGAGACACAGCUACAUAAUUUGUGGUGUUAGGGGGUAGUGAAUUCGCACUCUGCCUUA